Molecule: ribosomal RNA, 454 nt
Filed under: uncultured organism
Description: partial 16S ribosomal RNA
Rfam family: Bacterial small subunit ribosomal RNA
Source: RNAcentral
CGUACACUCCUACGGGAGGCAGCAGUGGGGAAUAUUGGACAAUGGGCGCAAGCCUGAUCCAGCCAUGCCGCGUGAGUGAUGAAGGCCCUAGGGUUGUAAAGCUCUUUCACCGGUGAAGAUAAUGACGGUAACCGGAGAAGAAGCCCCGGCUAACUUCGUGCCAGCAGCCGCGGUAAUACGAAGGGGGCUAGCGUUGUUCGGAUUUACUGGGCGUAAAGCGCACGUAGGCGGACUAUUAAGUCAGGGGUGAAAUCCCGGGGCUCAACCCCGGAACUGCCUUUGAUACUGGUAGUCUUGAGUUCGAGAGAGGUGAGUGGAAUUCCGAGUGUAGAGGUGAAAUUCGUAGAUAUUCGGAGGAACACCAGUGGCGAAGGCGGCUCACUGGCUCGAUACUGACGCUGAGGUGCGAAAGCGUGGGGAGCAAACAGGAUUAGAUACCCCAGUAGUCCCAUGA